Molecule: long non-coding RNA, 226 nt
Filed under: Chinchilla lanigera (long-tailed chinchilla)
Lineage: Eukaryota; Metazoa; Chordata; Mammalia; Rodentia; Chinchillidae
Description: lncRNA (ENSCLAG00000024503.1)
Source: RNAcentral
CUCAGUUCCUGGCUGCACACCACAACCGUCGGCCUCCAGGCUCCUGAGCCUCAGGUUCCCCACCUGCACAGUGGACACUUGCGCACCAGCAGAGCAGGGCUUCGUUACCAGGUCUCGUCGGCUCUGGUGACCCGGGGCAGGUUGCAUACUUUGCUUGGGCUCUUCGUCUAGGAAACGAUGCACACCUGUUGAGCCCAUUGCUGAUGAGAUGACUCUUGGAUCCUCA